RNAcentral lists this transfer RNA (73 nucleotides) under Cryptomonas paramaecium. Its description in RNAcentral is "Cryptomonas paramecium tRNA-Glu". It matches the Rfam family "tRNA". Rfam says of the family: Transfer RNA (tRNA) molecules are approximately 80 nucleotides in length. Their secondary structure includes four short double-helical elements and three loops (D, anti-codon, and T loops). Lineage: Eukaryota; Cryptophyceae; Cryptomonadales; Cryptomonadaceae. The record is from RNAcentral.
GCCCCCAUGGUCUAGAGGCUUAGGACAUCACUCUUUCAUGGUGAUAACGGGGAUUCGAAUUCCCCUGGGGGUA